AGCACCCUUUGGGUGUGACUGCGUACCUUUUGUAUAAUGGGUCAGCGACUUAUAUUCUGUAGCAAGGUUAACCGAAUAGGGGAGCCGGAGGGAAACCGAGUCUUAACCGGGCGUUAAGUUGCAGGGUAUAGACCCGAAACCCGGUGAUCUAGCCAUGGGCAGGUUGAAGGUUGGGUAACACUAACUGGAGGACCGAACCGACUAAUGUUGAAAAAUUAGCGGAUGACCUGUGGCUGGGGGUGAAAGGCCAAUCAAACCGGGAGAUAGCUGGUUCUCCCCGAAAGCUAUUUAGGUAGCGCCUCGUGAAUUCAUCUCCGGGGGUAGAGCACUGUUUCGGCUAGGGGGCCAUCCCGGCUUACCAACCCGAUGCAAACUGCGAAUACCGGAGAAUGUUAUCACGGGAGACACACGGCGGGUGCUAACGUCCGUCGUGAAGAGGGAAACAACCCAGACCGCCAGCUAAGGUCCCAAAGUCAUGGUUAAGUGGGAAACGAUGUGGGAAGGCCCAGACAGCCAGGAUGUUGGCUUAGAAGCAGCCAUCAUUUAAAGAAAGCGUAAUAGCUCACUGGUCGAGUCGGCCUGCGCGGAAGAUGUAACGGGGCUAAACCAUGCACCGAAGCUGCGGCAGCGACACUGUGUGUUGUUGGGUA
RNAcentral lists this ribosomal RNA (650 nucleotides) under Salmonella enterica subsp. enterica serovar Enteritidis. RNAcentral describes it as "partial 23S ribosomal RNA". It matches the Rfam family "Bacterial large subunit ribosomal RNA", at positions 578 to 1230 of the family's 2925-position model. Lineage: Bacteria; Pseudomonadati; Pseudomonadota; Gammaproteobacteria; Enterobacterales; Enterobacteriaceae. The record is from RNAcentral.